UGCUAGACGAGUUUGAUCCUGGCUCAGGACGAACGCUGGCGGCGUGCCUAACACAUGCAAGUCGAACGAAGCAUAGUAAUAUGCUUAGUGGCGGACGGGUGAGUAACGCGUGAACAAUCUGCCCUGUACAAAGGAAUAGCCUCGGGAAACCGGGAUUAAAACCGUAUGACACUUUAAUGCCGCAUGGUAGUAAAGUCAAAUUGAUUAAGAGGUAUAGGAUGAGUUCGCGUCUGAUUAGCUAGUUGGUAAGGUAAGGGCUUACCAAGGCGACGAUCAGUAGCCGGCCUGAGAGGGUGAACGGCCACACUGGAACUGAGACACGGUCCAGACUCCUACGGGAGGCAGCAGUGGGGAAUAUUGCACAAUGGAGGAAACUCUGAUGCAGCGACGCCGCGUGAGUGAAGAAGGUCUUCGGAUCGUAAAACUACUGUCCUUGGUGAAGAUAAUGACGGUAGCCAAGGAGGAAGCCCCGGCUAACUACGUG
RNAcentral lists this ribosomal RNA (484 nucleotides) under uncultured bacterium. RNAcentral describes it as "bacterial SSU rRNA". It matches the Rfam family "Bacterial small subunit ribosomal RNA", at positions 1 to 507 of the family's 1533-position model. The record is from RNAcentral.